CCUACGGGAGGCAGCAGUAGGGAAUAUUGCUCAAUGGGGGAAACCCUGAAGCAGCAACGCCGCGUGGAGGAUGAAGGUUUUCGGAUUGUAAACUCCUUUUGUUAGAGAAGAUAAUGACGGUAUCUAACGAAUAAGCACCGGCUAACUCCGUGCCAGCAGCCGCGGUAAUACGGAGGGUGCAAGCGUUACUCGGAAUCACUGGGCGGAAAGAGCGCGUAGGCGGGAUAGCAAGUCAGAUGGGAAAUCCUAUGGCUUAACCAUAAAACUGCAUUUGAAACUGUUAUUCUAGAGUAUGGGAGAGGUAGGUGGAAUUCUUGGGGUAGGGGUAAAAUCCGUAGAGAUCAAGAGGAAUACUCAUUGCGAAGGCGACCUGCUAGAACAUAACUGACGCUGAUGCGCGAAAGCGUGGGGAGCAAACAGGAUUAGAUACCCCUGUAGUC
RNAcentral lists this ribosomal RNA (440 nucleotides) under uncultured bacterium. Its description in RNAcentral is "partial 16S ribosomal RNA". It matches the Rfam family "Bacterial small subunit ribosomal RNA", at positions 338 to 795 of the family's 1533-position model. The record is from RNAcentral.